GAUGAACGCUGGCGGCGUGCUUAACACAUGCAAGUCGAACGGAAAGGCUCCUGCUUUCAGGGGUACUCGAGUGGCGAACGGGUGAGUAACAUGUGGGUGAUCUGCCCUGCACUUCGGGAUAAGCCUGGGAAACUGGGUCUAAUACCGGAUAGGACGAUGUUUUGGAUGCCAUUGUGGAAAGUUUUUCGGUGUGGGAUGAGCUCGCGGCCUAUCAGCUUGUUGGUGGGGUAAUGGCCUACCAAGGCGUCGACGGGUAGCCGGCCUGAGAGGGUGUACGGCCACAUUGGGACUGAGAUACGGCCCAGACUCCUACGGGAGGCAGCAGUGGGGAAUAUUGCACAAUGGGCGGAAGCCUGAUGCAGCGACGCCGCGUGGGGGAUGACGGCCUUCGGGUUGUAAACUCCUUUCGCUAGGGACGAAGCGCAAGUGACGGUACCUGGAGAAGAAGCACCGGCUAACUACGUG
This 465-nucleotide ribosomal RNA is filed under the name uncultured bacterium. Its description in RNAcentral is "partial 16S ribosomal RNA". It matches the Rfam family "Bacterial small subunit ribosomal RNA", at positions 28 to 507 of the family's 1533-position model. The record is from RNAcentral.